Molecule: non-coding RNA, 696 nt
Organism: Chiloscyllium plagiosum (whitespotted bambooshark)
Lineage: Eukaryota; Metazoa; Chordata; Chondrichthyes; Orectolobiformes; Hemiscylliidae
Source: RefSeq, a predicted model, not a curated record
CGCACAGGCACAGAAUAUAUAAGCAGAGAGAUCUCUGUUGGACUCUGAGUGACUACUGACUCUGCCUGAAUUAUCUUGCUUUCACAUCUGUCCUCUCCAUUCUCCUUGGUUUGCGAACCCACAGGCUUUUGGCUAAGAGAAAGGAAUCUGGGAGAGAUGCUAAUCUUAAAAUAAUUCCUGCUAGUGCAGAGGACAACAGUCUGGAUUGUACUAUGUCUUUAUUUGAACUGACUAUAAGAUGGACGCCUGCAGUGGUCACGUGACUGGCAAACAGGAGGCACGCAUAUCAAACAUGACAACACAUUACUGGAGGCUGAUUGCAGUUCAUGCUCAGAUAUAUGUCUUAACCGUUUGAACCCUCGCCUGCUGAAACAAGUCAUUGGUACAUUGAGAGGAGCGAUAGAGUGUGGAAUGAGGAAUCAGUUACACCAUCGUGACAUCACUCUUCACGUUCCUUCAUCCUCUUCCCUUUAUCUUGUUCCUCUCCUUGGUGCAGAUUUAUUUGAGAAAGCAUUUGAGAGAUUCCAAUCGGAGGAGAUGGAUAGACUGCCUAUUCUCAGACCUCUGUUAGUGUCAGACAGUAAUCAAGAUUCCACUUGAUGUAGCAGAGAGACCCCCAGGUUAACUUGACCUUCGAUAUGUGGAAAAGCUGCGCACAUUCUAUUUCUCCUUUCAGCAUCUCAUGCUCUCACUGUA